CGUAGGUAACCUGCCCAUGUGCCCGGGAUAACUGCUGGAAACGGUAGCUAAAACCGGAUAGGUAUACAGAGCGCAUGCUCAGUAUAUUAAAGCGCCCAUCAAGGCGUGAACAUGGAUGGACCUGCGGCGCAUUAGCUAGUUGGUGAGGUAACGGCCCACCAAGGCGAUGAUGCGUAGCCGGCCUGAGAGGGUAAACGGCCACAUUGGGACUGAGACACGGCCCAA
This 225-nucleotide ribosomal RNA is filed under the name uncultured bacterium. RNAcentral's name for it is "partial 16S ribosomal RNA". It matches the Rfam family "Bacterial small subunit ribosomal RNA", at positions 116 to 334 of the family's 1533-position model. The record is from RNAcentral.